This 1345-nucleotide ribosomal RNA is filed under the name uncultured bacterium. Its description in RNAcentral is "partial 16S ribosomal RNA". It matches the Rfam family "Bacterial small subunit ribosomal RNA", at positions 28 to 1381 of the family's 1533-position model. The record is from RNAcentral.
GACGAACGCUGGCGGCGUGCUUAACACAUGCAAGUCGAACGGAAAGGCCCUGCUUUUGUGGGGUGCUCGAGUGGCGAACGGGUGAGUAACACGUGAGUAACCUGCCCUUGACUUUGGGAUAACUUCAGGAAACUGGGGCUAAUACCGGAUAGGAGCUCCUGCUGCAUGGUGGGGGUUGGAAAGUUUCGGCGGUUGGGGAUGGACUCGCGGCUUAUCAGCUUGUUGGUGGGGUAGUGGCUUACCAAGGCUUUGACGGGUAGCCGGCCUGAGAGGGUGACCGGCCACAUUGGGACUGAGAUACGGCCCAGACUCCUACGGGAGGCAGCAGUGGGGAAUAUUGCACAAUGGGCGGAAGCCUGAUGCAGCAACGCCGCGUGCGGGAUGACGGCCUUCGGGUUGUAAACCGCUUUCGCCUGUGACGAAGCGUGAGUGACGGUAAUGGGUAAAGAAGCACCGGCUAACUACGUGCCAGCAGCCGCGGUGAUACGUAGGGUGCGAGCGUUGUCCGGAUUUAUUGGGCGUAAAGGGCUCGUAGGUGGUUGAUCGCGUCGGAAGUGUAAUCUUGGGGCUUAACCCUGAGCGUGCUUUCGAUACGGGUUGACUUGAGGAAGGUAGGGGAGAAUGGAAUUCCUGGUGGAGCGGUGGAAUGCGCAGAUAUCAGGAGGAACACCAGUGGCGAAGGCGGUUCUCUGGGCCUUUCCUGACGCUGAGGAGCGAAAGCGUGGGGAGCGAACAGGCUUAGAUACCCUGGUAGUCCACGCUGUAAACGGUGGGUACUAGGUGUGGGGUCCAUUCCACGGGUUCCGUGCCGUAGCUAACGCUUUAAGUACCCCGCCUGGGGAGUACGGCCGCAAGGCUAAAACUCAAAGGAAUUGACGGGGCCCCGCACAAGCGGCGGAGCAUGCGGAUUAAUUCGAUGCAACGCGUAGAACCUUACCUGGGUUUGACAUGGAUCGGGAGUGCUCAGAGAUGGGUGUGCCUCUUUUGGGGUCGGUUCACAGGUGGUGCAUGCCUGUCGUCAGCUCGUGUCGUGAGAUGUUGGGUUAAGUCCCGCAACGAGCGCAACCCUUGUUCACUGUUGCCAGCACGUUAUGGUGGGGACUCAGUGGAGACCGCCGGGGUCAACUCGGAGGAAGGUGGGGAUGACGUCAAGUCAUCAUGCCCCUUAUGUCCAGGGCUUCACGCAUGCUACAAUGGCUGGUACAGAGAGUGGCGAGCCUGUGAGGGUGAGCGAAUCUCGGAAAGCCGGUCUCGGUUCGGAUUGGGGUCUGCAACUCGACCUCAUGAAGUCGGAGUCGCUAGUAAUCGCAGAUCAGCAACGCUGCGGUGAAUACCUCCCGGGGCU